This 401-nucleotide ribosomal RNA is filed under the name uncultured Glomus. RNAcentral's name for it is "SSU rRNA". It matches the Rfam family "Eukaryotic small subunit ribosomal RNA", at positions 569 to 977 of the family's 1831-position model. The record is from RNAcentral. Lineage: Eukaryota; Fungi; Glomeromycota; Glomeromycetes; Glomerales; Glomeraceae.
AGCAGCCGCGGUAAUUCCAGCUCCAAUAGCGUAUAUUAAAGUUGUUGCAGUUAAAAGGCUCGUAGUUGAAUUUCGGGAUCAAUACGUCGGUCGUGCCUCUGGUAUGUACUGGUGUUAUUGAUUUCUCCCUUCUGAUGAACCAUGAUGUCAUUCAUUUGGUGUUGUGUGGAGUCAGGACUGUUACUUUGAAAAAUUAGAGUGUUUAAAGCAGGCUCACGCUUGAAUACAUUAGCAUGGAAUAAUGAAAUAGGACGUUCGAUCCUAUUUUGUUGGUUUCUAGGAUCAACGUAAUGAUUAAUAGGGAUAGUUGGGGCAUUAGUAUUCAAUUGUCAGAGGUAAAAUUCUUGGAUUUAUUGAAGACUAACUACUGCGAAAGCAUUUGCCAAGGAUGUUUCAUUAAU